Molecule: ribosomal RNA, 608 nt
Filed under: uncultured bacterium
Lineage: Bacteria
Description: bacterial SSU rRNA
Rfam family: Bacterial small subunit ribosomal RNA (bases 1-519)
Source: RNAcentral
CCUACGGGAGGCAGCAGUGGGGAAUCUUGCGCAAUGGGCGAAAGCCUGACGCAGCAACGCCGCGUGCGGGAUGAAGGCCUUCGGGUUGUAAACCGCUUUUAACAGGAACGAAAAUGACGGUACCUGUAGAAUAAGGUGCGGCCAACUACGUGCCAGCAGCCGCGGUGACACGUAGGCACCAAGCGUUGUCCGGAUUUAUUGGGCGUAAAGAGCUCGUAGGCGGUUCGAUAAGUCGGGUGUGAAAACUCUGGGCUUAACCCAGAGACGCCACUCGAUACUAUUGUGACUAGAGUUCGGUAGGGGAGCGGGGAAUUCCUAGUGUAGCGGUGAAAUGCGCAGAUAUUAGGAGGAACACCGGUGGCGAAGGCGCCGCUCUGGGCCGAAACUGACGCUGAGGAGCGAAAGCGUGGGUAGCAAACAGGAUUAGAUACCCUGGUAGUCCACGCCGUAAACGGUGGGCACUAGGUGUGGGCGUCCACCAACGACGUCGCGCCGUCGCUACGACAUAAGUAGCCCGCCGUCGGGUAGGUACGGUCCGGCCGAAGGUUAAACGUACAACUAGAAUUAGUACGGCGUGAGACGUGCCGACGGCGACGACGAGGGAGAGG